Non-coding RNA from Equus caballus (horse), 3618 nucleotides. Lineage: Eukaryota; Metazoa; Chordata; Mammalia; Perissodactyla; Equidae. The record is from RefSeq and is a predicted model, not a curated record.
ACUGUCUCCAUACUUUUGCCUUUUCCAGAGUGUCAUAUAGUUGGAAUCAUAUAGUAUGUAGCCUUUUUAGAUUGGAUUCCUUCGUUUAGGAGUAUGCCCUUAAGUUUCCUUCAUGGCUAUUCAUGGCUUGAUAGCCCAUUUCUUUCUAGCACUGGGUAAUAUUCCACCGUCUGAUGUACUGGUUUGUCUAUUCACCUACUGAAGGACAUCUUGGUUGCUUCCAAGUUUGGGCAAUCAUGAAUAAAACUGCUAUAAACAUCUACAUGCAGGUUUUUGUGUGGACAUAAGUUUUCAACUUCUUUGGGUAGUUACAAAUGAGUAUGGUUGCUGGAUCACAUGGUAAGAUAUGAAUAUUUUUAGUCUUGUAAGAAAUUCCUGAACUGUCUUCCAAAGUGGUUGUACCAUUUUACAUUCCUACCAGUGAUGAGUGGGGAUUUCAGUUGCUCCACGAGCUCCAAAUGCUCGUCAGCAUUUGGUGUUGUCAAUGCUCUGGAUUUCGGCAAUUCUAAUGGUAUGAUAUCUCAUUGUAGUUAAAACAAUACAUUUUUAAAAAGAACAUUUCUCUGUGUUACUCCCAGAGAUUCUUCAGGGAGUCUUUAGGGGUUUGUAAGAAUUAUCUAUUUUAAUAAGUUCCUGGGGAAGUUUGAUGAAAGCAAGGGGGGAUUACUUUGAGAAAUGGCAGGUUAAAUAAUGCAAACAAAAAAGGAAGUUAUCAAUCAGAGAUAGUUGUGUAGCUCAAAUCCGUUUAAAUCCAACCAUUGGAUUAGGAGGCAUGAGAAAACUAGCCUUUUGCUUAGAUUCAUCAUACUCAAUAUACUUCCAGGCAGGGCUACUAACAUAAUGUGGAUUUGCCUUAUGACAUGAAUAUGCACAUUUUUUCAGAUGAGGAAACUGAAUCCCAGAUGGUUUAAAUAAGCUUCUCAAGAAUGCAUUGAAAUGCCCUCUGACACCUACACCCAGGCUCCUUUCUCCACGUCAAAUUCAUCUCUUCACCAUUCUACUCCUAUAAUGCUAAUGGCCCGAGGAAAAGUUCUCAGAGUCGACUUUUUCCAUUUCUUCUCUCCCUUUUUUUUUUUUCCUCAACAAGAUUUCCCCCAUUAAUGGCUUGUUGGACUUGGCUGCUCCCUGGGGAAUACUUGUUUGUGUCUGGAGCUGUAGGUGAUGGCAACACCAGGGUGUGCUUGGAUUAACUCUUUGGAUGUACUGCCCAGACUCAUUUCAGGUCACCCUAAGAGGCUUUUUGGGUAAUACAGCAGUAUUUGGCCUCAGGCGCUUCCAAGUACAGGAAGGAAAUGGCAUGAACUUCAAAGUGAGCUCUGGUGCCAUGAGUACUGAUCAUUUAUUAGUGCUUUAAUAGUGGUAAAUUAAUCUCAGAUACACAUGGAGGCCAGAACAAGCUGGAGGUGUGGGAACAGUCUGCUUUCACCCUUGUUUUCUGGAAAUUUAGAACAUUUCCCAGUUCCAGUGCUCAGAAGUUAAGGGUCACUUUGGAGGUUAGGGUUAUUUUCAAAGCUUUAAACAGACCUGAGCCUGUUCUUGGGUCUUUUCCUGAUCAGGUUAGUGUUAUUUUAUUUACAUCCCAUAUGUUUUAUAAAUACUUCUUUCUUAUUCAUUUUCUCACUCUAUAAUUUUUUCAAAGCGACUCUAUUGAGACAUAAUUUACAUACAAUAAAUUCACAUUUUAAUGUGCAGUUGGAUGAGAUUUUACAAAUGUAAACAUUCAUGUAACUAUCACCCCAGUUAAGAUAUGAGAUAUUUUCACUGUCCCCAAAAUUCCCUCCUAUCCUUUUGCAAUGGAUCCCUGCCCGUCCAAGGCAUUCAUUGAUAAGAUUUCUGUCACCAUUACUUUUGCCUAUUCUUGAAGUUCGUAUAAAUAGAAUCAUACAGCAUGUCCUCUUAGGUCUACAUUCUUUAGCUCAGCAUAAUUUUUUUUGAGAUUCCCCCAUGUUUUUGCGUCUGUCAGGAGUUCAUUAUUAUUCUUUUCCCGUUUUUCAUAUAACUCAUUUCAUUGUAAGUUUACACAAUUUUUUCUUUCAAAUUUUUAUUUUGAAAUAAUUUAGACUUACAGAAAAAUGGCAAAAAUAUUAAAGAGUUCUUAUAAACCCUACAUCCAGCUUCUCCUUAUGGUGACAUCUAGGAAAUACAUGUAUUUCUACUAACCCAUGUAUAAACAUAUAUCUAUAUUUAUGUCUAUAUCUAUCUAUCUGUAUGUGCAUAAAUACAGGUAGAUAUACAGAUUCUAGGAUAAACACACACAUUAGAAUAAACAUGAGUUCACACUGAUGUGUGACUCUAAUCCAGCAGCACUACAGGAUUCAUUCUAACAUUUGCCGUUUGCUUCUUUUAACUUCUUUCUCUGUCGGUGAGAAACCUGGCUUUCAUUAUCAACAAUUUAUUUACUAAAUUGUUCAACCCUAGUACACAUUUGAAGUAGUUUCAGAAUGGUAAUCCACAUCCUGAAAAACAAAUUCUCCCACUAGAAUACAGUGUUUGUGGACUGUUUUUGUCUUUAACCUCACAGUAUAUAAUCAAAACACUUUUUUUUUUUUACAGGUGUUGAGAAAUGAUUCCUUUCAGCUCAAGACUCUAUUUACAAAGAGUUUUAGGCCAGCUCAUUUCUUCCCCAUCCCCUCCAGUUGAGUUAUGUCAUUCAUUUGUAAUAAAGUUAUAUUUACUUGUUACAGCCCGCAUUUCCUCUUGAUUUCUCCCCACCAUCCUGGUUGAGUGUUUAAAUUUUGCAUGUAGUAAAAUUCAUCUUUGUGGGAUAUAGACCUAUGAGGUUUUUAAAAUGCUUUGAGUCACGUAUCCAUCACCACAGUAACAUACAGAACAGUUUCAUCACCCUAAUAGUUCACUAUUUUUCAGUAGUUUGUUAACACAAUUUGUUAACCAUUCACUUAUUAAAGGACAUCUGGGUUGUUUCUAGUUUCUGACCAUUAUAUACGAAGCUUCUAGGAACACAUAUGUGCAGGUUUCUAUUGAACAUGUUUUCAUUUGUCUGGGAUAAAUGGGCGUGAGUGCAAUUACUGGGUUGUAUGGUUGUUACAUGUUUAAAUUUUAAGAGAAAUUUCCACGUUAUUUUCCAGAGUGGCUGUGCCAUGUUACCCUUCCACCAGCAAUAUACGAGUGAUUCAGUUUCUCCACAUCCAGCAUUUGGUAUUGACGCUACUUUUUAUAAGUUGUUCUGAUUUGAAUUGCUGUCUGGGGUCAUUUGCUUUUAGCCUGAAAAACUUCCUUUAAUACUUCUUGUAAGAGUCAGCUCCAAUUCGGUGUUGGAGGGGACUAUAUGAAGAUAUGACUCCUGAGAGCAUGGAUCUUUGAAGGGUGGGUGCCACACCACUUUUCUAAUAGAGGUGUCUAAUACUAUACCUUUCCCUUUAAGAUUGUUUUAGCUGUAUCCCACAAUUUUAAUAUGUUGUAUUUUUAUUAUUAUUGGGUAUAAGAUAUUUUCUAAUUUUCCUUAUAAUUUGUUCUUUGAUCAAUGAGUUAUGUAGAGACAGUUUGCCAGAUUUCCAAAUAUAUUGGGAUUUUCUAGGUGUUUAUUGUUAUUGGUUUGAGUUCAAUUGAAUGGUGAUAUGGUCAGAAAAUACACUCUGUAAGAUUUACAAUACUUUGAUA